AUUGAACGCUGGCGGCAGGCCUAACACAUGCAAGUCGAACGGUAACAGGAAACAGCUUGCUGUUUCGCUGACGAGUGGCGGACGGGUGAGUAAUGUCUGGGAAACUGCCUGAUGGAGGGGGAUAACUACUGGAAACGGUAGCUAAUACCGCAUAACGUCGCAAGACCAAAGAGGGGGACCCUCGGGCCUCUUGCCAUCGGAUGUGCCCAGAUGGGAUUAGCUUGUUGGUGGGGUAACGGCUCACCAAGGCGACGAUCCCUAGCUGGUCUGAGAGGAUGACCAGCCACACUGGAACUGAGACACGGUCCAGACUCCUACGGGAGGCAGCAGUGGGGAAUAUUGCACAAUGGGCGCAAGCCUGAUGCAGCCAUGCCGCGUGUUUGAAGAAGGCCUUCGGGUUGUAAAGUACUUUCAGCGGGGAGGAAGGGAGUAAAGUUAAUACCUUUGCUCAUUGACGUUACCCGCAGAAGAAGCACCGGCUAACUCCGUG
Molecule: ribosomal RNA, 490 nt
Filed under: uncultured bacterium
Lineage: Bacteria
Description: partial 16S ribosomal RNA
Rfam family: Bacterial small subunit ribosomal RNA
Source: RNAcentral